ACCUGGAGUGCGGUAUGGGAUCACCGCAGCCUCCCCCACCUCAGUGUCCCUUCCACGGAGUCUCUAUUUUGUCACUGAGGAUCGGGCGCCCGGCAUCUGUGCAGGCCCCGCCUCGUGUGUGCCGUAACUGCGCUGGUUCCCCGGCUUUCCCGCGCCUCCGAGGAGCCCCUGGCCUCAGCGGGGCCGGGCGCGUGCUCCCGGGGUGAUCCCUGCCGGUACUGGGGAAGGCUGGGCCCCCGGGAGAAGGCUCGCGGCUCUACUUCUCGAGUGCCGGGCAGGCUUCUUGGAGAAGAAACCUUCGAGCUGAUGACUGAGGGAUGAGUAGGAGUUCCUGUGCCCGGGGAGUGGCGCGGGAGGCGCCUGUGUCUCGGAGCCUUGAACGCCACCACACUUAGUACGAGGAGGCCGCCUGUACACAGAGGUGACCCUCUUAAAGGAGUAGGGGGCUUUAAAUACGUUUAGUGCGAUCACGGGACUGACAAGACGUUGAAGACGUUGUGACUCGAGGGAUUCUGCGACCCCACGUGUGUAGCAGUCACCUUGGCCAGGCAGUUGGGGGCGCCAGGAGAGGGAGAUGGCCCUGUGGCCACCGUCCUGGCAGGAGAGGCCUGGCUGGAGAGGCACAUCUUGACAGAAACCAAAUUCUCAGAAUCUGAGAUGGGGGAAAGCGGUUUAGGGAAGUCAAGGACGACUCUGAGGUGCCAGAUUUGGUGCCUGGGCUGUUAUCCCAGGGGUUCUGUUAAUUGAUCUUAGCCUUAGGGUAAGUAAAAUGGGUCUUUUUAUAUAAUAGUGUGAAAACUAUUUUCAUCUAAUAGUACUCUUUUUAAUAAAAGUCAGUAGUUGGAAUGUGA
Molecule: long non-coding RNA, 851 nt
Organism: Homo sapiens (human)
Lineage: Eukaryota; Metazoa; Chordata; Mammalia; Primates; Hominidae
Source: Ensembl